GACGUAGGGCGCGAGCGUUGUCCGGAUUAUUGGGCGUAAAGAGCUCGUAGGCGGUUUGUCGCGUCUGCUGUGAAAACCCGAGGCUCAACCUCGGGCCUGCAGUGGGUACGGGCAGACUAGAGUGCGGUAGGGGAGAUUGGAAUUCCUGGUGUAGCGGUGGAAUGCGCAGAUAUCAGGAGGAACACCAAUGGCGAAGGCAGAUCUCUGGGCCGUAACUGACGCUGAGGAGCGAAAGCAUGGGAGCGAACAGG
This 251-nucleotide ribosomal RNA is filed under the name uncultured bacterium. Its description in RNAcentral is "partial 16S ribosomal RNA". It matches the Rfam family "Bacterial small subunit ribosomal RNA", at positions 524 to 776 of the family's 1533-position model. The record is from RNAcentral.